Molecule: ribosomal RNA, 2074 nt
Filed under: Salmonella enterica
Lineage: Bacteria; Pseudomonadati; Pseudomonadota; Gammaproteobacteria; Enterobacterales; Enterobacteriaceae
Description: partial 23S ribosomal RNA
Rfam family: Bacterial large subunit ribosomal RNA
Source: RNAcentral
CGGGGGUAGAGCACUGUUUCGGCUAGGGGGUCAUCCCGACUUACCAACCCGAUGCAAACUGCGAAUACCGAAGAAUGUUAUCACGGGAGACACACGGCGGGUGCUAACGUCCGUCGUGAAGAGGGAAACAACCCAGACCGCCAGCUAAGGUCCCAAAGUCACAGUUAAGUGGGAAACGAUGUGGGAAGGCUCAGACAGCCAGGAUGUUGGCUUAGAAGCAGCCAUCAUUUAAAGAAAGCGUAAUAGCUCACUGGUCGAGUCGGCCUGCGCGGAAGAUGUAACGGGGCUAAACUGUGCACCGAAGCUGCGGCAGCGACGCUUAUGCGUUGUUGGGUAGGGGAGCGUUCUGUAAGCCGUUGAAGGUGUGUCGUGAGGCAUGCUGGAGGUAUCAGAAGUGCGAAUGCUGACAUAAGUAACGAUAAUGCGGGUGAAAAACCCGCACGCCGGAAGACCAAGGGUUCCUGUCCAACGUUAAUCGGGGCAGGGUGAGUCGACCCCUAAGGCGAGGCCGAAAGGCGUAGUCGAUGGGAAACAGGUUAAUAUUCCUGUACUUGGUGUUACUGCGAAGGGGGGACGGAGAAGGCUAUGUUAGCCGGGCGACGGUUGUCCCGGUUUAAGCAUGUAGGCGGAACGAUUAGGUAAAUCCGGUCGUUUAUUAACGCUGAGGUGUGAUGACGAGGCACUACGGUGCUGAAGUAACAAAUGCCCUGCUUCCAGGAAAAGCCUCUAAGCAUCAGGUAACAUCAAAUCGUACCCCAAACCGACACAGGUGGUCAGGUAGAGAAUACCAAGGCGCUUGAGAGAACUCGGGUGAAGGAACUAGGCAAAAUGGUGCCGUAACUUCGGGAGAAGGCACGCUGAUAUGUAGGUGAAGUGAUUGACUCAUGGAGCUGAAAUCAGUCGAAGAUACCAGCUGGCUGCAACUGUUUAUUAAAAACACAGCACUGUGCAAACACGAAAGUGGACGUAUACGGUGUGACGCCUGCCCGGUGCCGGAAGGUUAAUUGAUGGGGUUAGCCGCAAGGCGAAGCUCUUGAUCGAAGCCCCGGUAAACGGCGGCCGUAACUAUAACGGUCCUAAGGUAGCGAAAUUCCUUGUCGGGUAAGUUCCGACCUGCACGAAUGGCGUAAUGAUGGCCAGGCUGUCUCCACCCGAGACUCAGUGAAAUUGAACUCGCUGUGAAGAUGCAGUGUACCCGCGGCAAGACGGAAAGACCCCGUGAACCUUUACUAUAGCUUGACACUGAACACUGGUCCUUGAUGUGUAGGAUAGGUGGGAGGCUUUGAAGCGCGGACGCCAGUUCGUGUGGAGCCAACCUUGAAAUACCACCCUUUAAUGGCUGGUGUUCUAACGUAGACCCGUUACCCGGGUUGCGGACAGUGUCUGGUGGGUAGUUUGACUGGGGCGGUCUCCUCCUAAAGAGUAACGGAGGAGCACGAAGGUUAGCUAAUCCUGGUCGGACAUCAGGAGGUUAGUGCAAAGGCAUAAGCUAGCUUGACUGCGAGAGUGACGGCUCGAGCAGGUGCGAAAGCAGGUCUUAGUGAUCCGGUGGUUCUGAAUGGAAGGGCCAUCGCUCAACGGAUAAAAGGUACUCCGGGGAUAACAGGCUGAUACCGCCCAAGAGUUCAUAUCGACGGCGGUGUUUGGCACCUCGAUGUCGGCUCAUCACAUCCUGGGGCUGAAGUAGGUCCCAAGGGUAUGGCUGUUCGCCAUUUAAAGUGGUACGCGAGCUGGGUUUAGAACGUCGUGAGACAGUUCGGUCCCUAUCUGCCGUGGGCGCUGGAGAAUUGAGGGGGGCUGCUCCUAGUACGAGAGGACCGGAGUGGACGCAUCACUGGUGUUCGGGUUGUCAUGCCAAUGGCAUUGCCCGGUAGCUAAAUGCGGAAGAGAUAAGUGCUGAAAGCAUCUAAGCACGAAACUUGCCCCGAGAUGAGUUCUCCCUGAGACUAUAAGUCUCCUGAAGGAACGUUGAAGACGACGACGUUGAUAGGUCGGGUGUGUAAGCGUAGCGAUACGUUGAGCUAACCGAUACUAAUGAACCGUGAGGCUUAACCUUACAACGCCGAAGGUGUUU